Camellia sinensis is the source of this 983-nucleotide non-coding RNA. The record is from RefSeq and is a predicted model, not a curated record. NCBI's taxonomy places the organism in Eukaryota, Viridiplantae, Streptophyta, Magnoliopsida, Ericales, Theaceae.
AUGAUUUUCUAUUAAAUCCUUAUGUUUUCACAUUUUCAGUUAGUGGUUUUGUACUAUUAAAAAACUCUUGCCAACUUUUGCAUAUAGUAAUACUCAACAGGGGUGGAGCAUACUCCUCUAUCAGACAAAUUAGGAUUAUGUAAAUUGUUUUUGGCCUUGAGGAUUUAUUUUCUUAUCUCCGUUAUUUUUGUUGAUUAAUUUUCAGGGUUGCACAGAUCGAAUUGUUUUCAAACUCUUUAGAAAAGAUCCAAGUGAUUUCCCUAUUGUCCUGCGGAAACAGAUACUUGACUGGUUAUCUCACAGUCCUACUGAAAUUGAAAGCUACAUAAGACCUAGCUGUAUCAUAUUAACUAUCUAUCUUUGAUUAGGGAAAUCCACAUGGGAGGAGCUUUACUGUGAUCUAAGCUCCAGUUUGACCACCAGUCAUUGAAAUUGCAUCAAAGAGAGGUUUUUUUUUUUCUUUUCUUUCCUUACUAUUUUCUUUUUGACGCUAAGCUAUAAUGGGAGGGAUUUCACGGUUCAUGUGCAUUACAAAUCAGCAUUUGUAUUUGGCUUUGGUUGAAUGAUAGACCAUUGUGUUCCAUAUAAUUCCAGCCUGUUUUUAUCUAGAAUAUGAUGCAAUCAACUAUUUAUUUUUCACUUUAGUACUGGCUCAAUAUGUUCGGCUUUUUAUUCAGAUAUCAGAUACCACUACUAGAGAUUUGAUUUUUUGAGUGUGUGAGCGUGCCAUUUAUAGUAUGAUCAAACACAAGUGUGUGGUUAUAAUACUUUCCACUUGUACAAUGAACAUUUUGACCUAGCUUCUGGUGAGUAGGGCUCCAAAGAUACAGCGACUGGUAACUCCACUGACUCUGCAGAUGAAGUGAGCUAGGAUUGCAGAGAAUAAGAAGAGAAUUGCAAAGGCCAAGGAAGAGGCAGUCGAAUAAUACAUACUCCUCGCCACUAGGUUGAUUUCCGUAAUUGAUUGCUUAUUAUACCAUUUU